AUUCUUACCUGGCAGAGGAGAUAACUAUGAUCAAAUAGUGGUUUUAUGAGGGCGAGGCUUGUCUUUUGCACUCAGAACGUGCUGACCCCUGAGAGUCCCACCCAUGAGAAACUCAAUUGGAAAAUUUGUGCUCGUGGGGUAACAUA
RNAcentral lists this small nuclear RNA (146 nucleotides) under Prolemur simus (greater bamboo lemur). RNAcentral describes it as "U1 spliceosomal RNA (ENSPSMG00000021325.1)". It matches the Rfam family "U1 spliceosomal RNA". From Rfam's summary of the family: U1 is a small nuclear RNA (snRNA) component of the spliceosome (involved in pre-mRNA splicing). Its 5' end forms complementary base pairs with the 5' splice junction, thus defining the 5' donor site of an intron. There are significant differences in sequence and secondary structure between metazoan and yeast U1 snRNAs, the latter being much longer (568 nucleotides as compared to 164 nucleotides in human). The record is from RNAcentral. Lineage: Eukaryota; Metazoa; Chordata; Mammalia; Primates; Lemuridae.